RNAcentral lists this ribosomal RNA (430 nucleotides) under uncultured Bacteroidales bacterium. RNAcentral describes it as "bacterial SSU rRNA". It matches the Rfam family "Bacterial small subunit ribosomal RNA", at positions 930 to 1359 of the family's 1533-position model. Lineage: Bacteria; Pseudomonadati; Bacteroidota; Bacteroidia; Bacteroidales. The record is from RNAcentral.
CGGAGGAACAUGUGGUUUAAUUCGAUGAUACGCGAGGUAACCUUACCCGGGCUUAAAUUGCAGAGGACCGGCACAGAGAUGUGCUUUCCCUUCGGGGUCUCAGUGGAGGUGCUGCAUGGUUGUCGUCAGCUCGUGCCGUGAGGUGUCGGCUUAAGUGCCAUAACGAGCGCAACCCUUGCCAAUAGUUACUAACAGGUCAUGCCGAGGACUCUAUUGGGACUGCCAUCGUAAGAUGUGAGGAAGGUGGGGAUGACGUCAAAUCAGCACGGCCCUUACGUCCGGGGCUACACACGUGUUACAAUGGGAGGUACAGAAGGCUGCUACCCGGCGACGGGAUGCCAAUCCCCAAAACCUCUCUCAGUUCGGACUGGAGUCUGCAACCCGACUCCACGAAGCUGGAUUCGCUAGUAAUCGGGCAUCAGCCAUGGCG